GUUGCUUCGGGGGCGACCCCGCCGUUUCGGCGACGGCGCCCCCGGAGGUCAUCAAACACUGCAUCUUUGCGUCGGAGUCUUAAAGUAAAUUUAAACAAAACUUUCAACAACGGAUCUCUUGGUUCUGGCAUCGAUGAAGAACGCAGCGAAAUGCGAUAAGUAAUGUGAAUUGCAGAAUUCAGUGAAUCAUCGAAUCUUUGAACGCACAUUGCGCCCCGUGGUAUUCCGCGGGGCAUGCCUGUUCGAGCGUCAUUUCACCACUCAAGCCUAGCUUGGUAUUGGGCGUCGCGGUUCCSCGCGCCUUAAAGUCUCCGGCUGAGCAGUUCGUCUCUAAGCGUUGUGGCAUAUAUUUCGCUGAAGAGUUCGGACGGCUUUUGGCCGUUAAAUCUUUCUUAAGGGUKGACCUCGGAUCRGKAGGGAUMC
Molecule: ribosomal RNA, 423 nt
Filed under: Mycosphaerella sp. PPRI_8912
Lineage: Eukaryota; Fungi; Ascomycota; Dothideomycetes; Mycosphaerellales; Mycosphaerellaceae
Description: eukaryotic LSU rRNA
Rfam family: 5.8S ribosomal RNA (bases 99-252)
Source: RNAcentral